GGGUAGUUAACUCAGUUGGCAGAGUGUUCGUAUCACAUACGAAUUGUCGUAGGUUCAAAUCCUACACUACCCA
Molecule: transfer RNA, 73 nt
Filed under: Endomicrobium sp.
Lineage: Bacteria; Pseudomonadati; Elusimicrobiota; Endomicrobiia; Endomicrobiales; Endomicrobiaceae
Description: tRNA-Val
Rfam family: tRNA
About the family: Transfer RNA (tRNA) molecules are approximately 80 nucleotides in length. Their secondary structure includes four short double-helical elements and three loops (D, anti-codon, and T loops). Further hydrogen bonds mediate the characteristic L-shaped molecular structure. tRNAs have two regions of fundamental functional importance: the anti-codon, which is responsible for specific mRNA codon recognition, and the 3' end, to which the tRNAs corresponding amino acid is attached (by aminoacyl-tRNA synthetases). tRNAs cope with the degeneracy of the genetic code in two manners: having more than one tRNA (with a specific anti-codon) for a particular amino acid; and 'wobble' base-pairing, i.e. permitting non-standard base-pairing at the 3rd anti-codon position.
Source: RNAcentral